Molecule: unclassified non-coding RNA, 546 nt
Filed under: Hevea brasiliensis (rubber tree)
Lineage: Eukaryota; Viridiplantae; Streptophyta; Magnoliopsida; Malpighiales; Euphorbiaceae
Source: RNAcentral
GAUUUCUCCAAGAGGAUUACUGGUACACAUUCUAUACAGUUUUGGGUUCUGCAUUUUACUAUUUUAUCUUUCUUUGUUUAUUGAUUCUGAUUGAUUUCUUGUAUGGAAGCUUUUGUUGGUCGAGUGCUCUUUCUGAGUUUAUACGCUAUAUGCUAUUUCUUGAGGAAUUUUUCCUUAGUUUCUUCGCAUUGGAUGAAUUGUUAUGACAUGGGUCGGAUCGAGUUUAUAUUAAUUUGGUUGCUGUUCUACGUUCUUUACCAAUUGGUGUUGAACUUGUCUUUUAAAAUGGAGUUUGCAAAUGAAUUGCUUUAUUGUAUAUAUGCGUUUCUUUCCUUGUAUCAAUUCAUUCAAUUGGUUGUAGUGUUGAGCUUGUGUUUAAUUUUUAUAUUGAUUCUGUUCCUUCACAGUGUCAUGCUUUGGUGUUCAUUACUGCACUAGCUAGGUAUAUUAUGUUUCUGAUAGAAUUUCAGGUCAUGGGUCAAGUCCAGUUUUCUCUUAUUAGGUUGUUAAUUUGACGGGUGAUAGUGGAUAGCUUCUUAUAAUGCA